This 21-nucleotide non-coding RNA is filed under the name Caenorhabditis elegans. Lineage: Eukaryota; Metazoa; Nematoda; Chromadorea; Rhabditida; Rhabditidae. The record is from RNAcentral.
UGGUGCAAAAAAUGAAGAAAA